This is a long non-coding RNA of Neofelis nebulosa (Clouded leopard), 623 nucleotides long. RefSeq lists it as uncharacterized. The record is from RefSeq and is a predicted model, not a curated record. Lineage: Eukaryota; Metazoa; Chordata; Mammalia; Carnivora; Felidae. The transcript has 2 exons.
GCUAAGAAUGUGUGCGCUGAUGAUGCCCAGAUUCUUGGGGCUUGGACACGGAGCUUGUGUGAAUAUUAUCUGUGCCUCCGACACACACCGACCGCCAAUGAGAGCCUAGGCCCAUGGGAUUCCCCUGAUUGGAGAAUGGUGAAGGAAGAAGUCUUACCUGGAGGCGAGUGCUCACGGCCAUCUGGUGGUCACCUGGGGAACUGCAGGACCAACUUCCAUCUUGAACGACACUGUAACUCUAUGGAUGAGGGCGUUCUAAGCAACCAACUACUUCAGUGGAAGCAUGGUCACUGAUGUUCUUUGCCCUGAGAAGGCAACAGUACCUAAGACAGAACUUUGAGAAAAACUAGCCAAAAUGUACAAGACCACACCAGCUGUCAUCUUUAUAUUUUGAGUCAGAACCCACUUUGGUGGUGGCACAACUGGCUUGGGCCUGAUUUACAAUUCCUUGGAUUAUGCAAAGAAAAAUGAACCCAAAGAGAGCCUUGCAGAACAUGGGCCGCAUGAGAAGAAAAAGACCUCAAGAAAACAGCAAAUGGCACAGGAGAACAGAAUGAAGAAAGUCAGGUCUCCACACAGGCCAAUGUUGGUGUAGACAAACAGAAGUAGUAAAGAUUCUGCCA